This 406-nucleotide ribosomal RNA is filed under the name uncultured bacterium. RNAcentral describes it as "partial 16S ribosomal RNA". It matches the Rfam family "Bacterial small subunit ribosomal RNA", at positions 30 to 526 of the family's 1533-position model. The record is from RNAcentral.
AUUGAACGCUGGCGGCAGGCCUAACACAUGCAAGUCAAACGAGUGGCGGACGGGUGAGUAAUGUCUGGGAUAAUGCCCGAUGGAGGGGGAUCACUACUGGAAACGGUAGCUAAUACCGCAUACCAUAGGAUGUGCCCAGAUGGGAGUAGCUUGUAGGUGAGGUAACGGCGCACCUAGGCGACGAUCCCUAGAUGGUGUGAGAGGCUGACCAGCCACACGGGAAAUGAUACACGGGGCAGGAUACUACGGGAGGCAGCAGGGGGGAAUAUUGCACAAUGGGCGGAAUCCUGAUGCAGCCAUGCCGAGUGUAUGAAGAAGGCCUUCGGGUUGUAAAGUACUUUCAGCGGGGCGGCGUUACCCGCUGAAGAAGCAUCGGCUAACUCCGUGCCAGCAGCCGCGGUAAUUC